CGACGCACACAGGAGUGGAGCCAGGGGCUUAUUUGACUCAACACGGGAAAACUCACCCGGCCCGGACACCGUAAGGAUUGACAGACUGAGAGCUCUUUCUUAAAUUCGGGGGGGUGGUGGUGGAAGGCCCUUCUUAGUUGGAGGAGGCGAUUUGUCUGGUUAUUCCUAUAACGAACGAAAAUUCUGGGCUUAUUAAAUAGACGGUAUAUUUUAAAAGUAUAUCCGCAACUUCUUUAAGAGGGAACAAGCGGCGCCUUACCCAAUGAAUAUAGGACAAUAUGGCAGGCGGGGAUGGCCCUAAGAAGCGGCCUCACACCCGCCCUCAAUUAAGAAGACAAGGGGGUAAUCUCGAUUCGGAGGACGGGUACACAGGAAUCUUCUGCUUGGAAAGGAUGGGAUAUAUCCUACAAAUCCAGAAUGCGCAACCGGGAUAACCUGCUUGACACCCGGCUCCAUGGACUAAGGCUACAGAAGGCCUAGGCUUCUGGAAUGCAACAUUCAGAGAUUUAUGUCGGGAUC
RNAcentral lists this ribosomal RNA (519 nucleotides) under uncultured eukaryote. RNAcentral describes it as "bacterial SSU rRNA". The stretch from base 15 to 426 matches the Rfam family "Eukaryotic small subunit ribosomal RNA", at positions 1176 to 1611 of the family's 1831-position model. The record is from RNAcentral.